GAUGAAGAACGCAGCGAAACGCGAUAAGUAAUGUGAAUUGCAGAAUUCAGUGAAUCAUCGAAUCUUUGAACGCACAUUGCGCCCCUUGGUAUUCCGAGGGGCAUGCCUGUUCGAGCGUCAUUACACCACUCAAGCACUGCUUGGUAUUGGGCACUCGUCCGUCGAAAGACGGGCGUGCCUCGAAGACCUCGGCGGGGUUUCUCCAACUUCGGGCGUAGUAGAGUUAAAUCAAAACGUCUUAUAAGCUUGGUGAGAUCUCAUUGCCGUUAAACCUUUUUUUUUCAGGUUGACCUCGGAUCAGGUAGGGAUACCCGCUGAACUUAAGCAUAUCAAUAAGCGGAGGA
RNAcentral lists this unclassified non-coding RNA (344 nucleotides) under soil metagenome. RNAcentral's name for it is "partial contains 5.8S ribosomal RNA, internal transcribed spacer 2, and large subunit ribosomal RNA". The stretch from base 1 to 120 matches the Rfam family "5.8S ribosomal RNA", at positions 35 to 154 of the family's 154-position model. The record is from RNAcentral.